CCCAGGGUAGCCUAGUGGACAUGGCAUCUGCCCGGUAAGCGGAACACUGUGGGUUCGAUUCCCAUCCCUGGACA
This is a non-coding RNA of Cordylochernes scorpioides, 74 nucleotides long. NCBI's taxonomy places the organism in Eukaryota, Metazoa, Arthropoda, Arachnida, Pseudoscorpiones, Chernetidae. The record is from the annotation of a GenBank genome assembly.